GAGAAGAAACGGAAAUAAAUCAAUAUUUUCGACAUUAAAACGUCACGUGUAGCCCCGCCCAAACAUGGCUGCAAUCUGCAAGCUCAAAGCGUCUAGAGACAGGAAUGGAUCCAAUUAGUUACAUGUAUGUGGGUCAGUGGUUUUAUAUCUGUAAUACGCAUGCGCAUUACUCCCACAUGGACAAAAAUCACAAUAUGGCUGCCACCAACUGAGUGUUUUUCAUAUUUCUAGUGCUGUCUUUGUGGUUCCAGGCCUUUUGCUAGUUGUUUGCAUGAGUUGGAUCACUGAUUAGACUAAUAGAACCUUGCACUAGAAUGUAUCUUCUAAUUAUUCUUGUGUGAGGAAAUGGGCUUUUUAGUCUUUCCUGGGUUAUCAUUUGUUCCCUCCACCACAAUUACUCAUUUCAGAACUGCAUUUUACACCUUGCCAGCGAAUUGGAUCACAAGAGGUUGCUCAUGAGUUUUUGCUUACAUGUGUAGUAGGAGACUAGGAGCUCAAGUAGGUACAAGGUUGAGCUAAUGUCACGAAAAGCUAUCAGUAUUGUUCAUGGUGGUGGACGAAACUCUGGAUGCUAUAUUUGGAGAUAUAACAUUUCCCCAAGACUAGAUAUAUUAUCAACUCUUUAUUUCCCUUGGCACUACUUAAUGUGACACCAGUAUAUUUCGAGGUCAGUAAAAACUAUUAUUGCUGUAUAAAAUUUGUUUUCGUUAUCUGUAGAAUGACAUUCCUGUCAAAUUAUUUUUAGAGAUGAAAAUAGGCUACAAAGUUCUUUGUAAACAUUAAUGCAAAACUCAACAGAGUAACCUGAAAUCAAAUGUGUGGCUAAACAAGCAUUUAUUCAUGUUUUAACUGUUUUUUUUUUUACAUUUUUGUUUGAGUUAUGAACAUUAUAAAUUAAAGUA
This is a long non-coding RNA of Amphimedon queenslandica, 902 nucleotides long. RefSeq lists it as uncharacterized. NCBI's taxonomy places the organism in Eukaryota, Metazoa, Porifera, Demospongiae, Haplosclerida, Niphatidae. The transcript is spliced from 6 exons. The record is from RefSeq and is a predicted model, not a curated record.